RNAcentral lists this ribosomal RNA (674 nucleotides) under Klebsiella pneumoniae. Its description in RNAcentral is "bacterial SSU rRNA". It matches the Rfam family "Bacterial small subunit ribosomal RNA", at positions 56 to 721 of the family's 1533-position model. The record is from RNAcentral. Lineage: Bacteria; Pseudomonadati; Pseudomonadota; Gammaproteobacteria; Enterobacterales; Enterobacteriaceae.
UGCAAGUCGAGCGGUAGCACAGAGAGCUUGCUCUCGGGUGACGAGCGGCGGACGGGUGAGUAAUGUCUGGGAAACUGCCUGAUGGAGGGGGAUAACUACUGGAAACGGUAGCUAAUACCGCAUAACGUCGCAAGACCAAAGUGGGGGACCUUCGGGCCUCAUGCCAUCAGAUGUGCCCAGAUGGGAUUAGCUAGUAGGUGGGGUAACGGCUCACCUAGGCGACGAUCCCUAGCUGGUCUGAGAGGAUGACCAGCCACACUGGAACUGAGACACGGUCCAGACUCCUACGGGAGGCAGCAGUGGGGAAUAUUGCACAAUGGGCGCAAGCCUGAUGCAGCCAUGCCGCGUGUGUGAAGAAGGCCUUCGGGUUGUAAAGCACUUUCAGCGGGGAGGAAGGCGUUAAGGUUAAUAACCUUGGCGAUUGACGUUACCCGCAGAAGAAGCACCGGCUAACUCCGUGCCAGCAGCCGCGGUAAUACGGAGGGUGCAAGCGUUAAUCGGAAUUACUGGGCGUAAAGCGCACGCAGGCGGUCUGUCAAGUCGGAUGUGAAAUCCCCGGGCUCAACCUGGGAACUGCAUUCGAAACUGGCAGGCUAGAGUCUUGUAGAGGGGGGUAGAAUUCCAGGUGUAGCGGUGAAAUGCGUAGAGAUCUGGAGGAAUACCGGUGGCGAAGG